Long non-coding RNA from Lathyrus oleraceus (garden pea), 720 nucleotides. RefSeq lists it as uncharacterized. The record is from RefSeq and is a predicted model, not a curated record. The transcript is spliced from 2 exons. Lineage: Eukaryota; Viridiplantae; Streptophyta; Magnoliopsida; Fabales; Fabaceae.
GAUUUCUCCAUAAGUACCCCAUCAUAAAAGAACAUGUACCAUCCUUUUCUCACUCAUCUAUGUCAAUUGUAAUCCAUCCAACCACAUGUUCCACGUGGUCACUCCCAAACAAAUUGAAAUGUAUUCUCAUCUAUCUUGACUUUGAAGGAAGAGUUAAUAGUCGCCAUUGACGUAGUUUUGAUCAGCACUUGUGCCAUAUGCAGUCUAUCUUUGUAUAUAGUUGAAGCGUCUGGCCUUAUAUAUGAUCCAAUCUUAAUGGUGAUUAGUUUGAAAAAACCUUCUCUCCAAGCAUGUAAAGGAAUACCACGUAUGCAUAUCCAACAAAAUGUCUCCCCUUAUGUUUGGUAUGGUGUCCAUUGGGAAAUAGAGCAAAACAAUCUCCUGAGUGUUGUUUUCUCUUCCUUUAUAUAGAUCAAUCCAGCAGUUAUUGAGAUCUCUCUCUAGAUUUGUAUAUAUGUGUUGAUGUGAAAGAAUGUUAUGAUAAAGUAAACUGUAUCUCUCCUCAAGUUCCACAAUGCAUAUAUAGUCUUUGUCGUUGUGCGUGAGUCUUAAUUAAGUUCAGAAAUAAUUUCAUGGCACUUCUAACUUCUAAGACUAUAUUUAUAUAAAUAUUUAUAAAUAUAGCAUUUGUUCAGUCGGAAUAAUAUUAUUGUAUUAUACAAAUUUGUUAUUUUACAAAUAUUGUUGAGUCGGAAAAAUGUGUAAUAAAUUAGGAAAUUA